RNAcentral lists this ribosomal RNA (377 nucleotides) under uncultured bacterium. RNAcentral describes it as "bacterial SSU rRNA". It matches the Rfam family "Bacterial small subunit ribosomal RNA", at positions 28 to 408 of the family's 1533-position model. The record is from RNAcentral.
GACGAACGCUGGCGGCGUGCUUAACACAUGCAAGUCGAGCGGUAAGGCCCCUUCGGGGGUACACGAGCGGCGAACGGGUGAGUAACACGUGAGCAAUCUGCCCUUCACUUUGGGAUAACUCUGGGAAACGAGAGCUAAUACCGAAUACGACCACUUCAGGCAUCUGAUGGUGGUGGAAAGUUCCGGCGGUGAAGGAUGAGCUCGCGGCCUAUCAGCUAGUUGGUGGAGUAACGGCCCACCAAGGCUUCGACGGGUAGCCGGCCCGAGAGGUGACCGGCCACACUGGGACUGAGACACGGCCCAGACUCCUACGGAGGCAGCAGUGGGGAAUAUUGGACAAUGGGCGAAAGCCUGAUCCAGCAACGCCGCGUGAGGGA